GACGAACGCUGGCGGCGUGCUUAACGCAUGCAAGUCGAACGGAAAGGCCCUGCUUUUGUGGGGUGCUCGAGUGGCGAACGGGUGAGUAACACGUGAGUAACCUGCCCUUGACUUUGGGAUAACUUCAGGAAACUGGGGCUAAUAUCGGAUAGGAGCUCCUGCUGCAUGGUGGGGGUUGGAAAGUUUCGGCGGUUGGGGAUGGACUCGCGGCUUAUCAGCUUGUUGGUGGGGUAGUGGCUUACCAAGGCUUUGACGGGUAGCCGGCCUGAGAGGGUGACCGGCCACAUUGGGACUGAGGUACGGCCCAGACUCCUACGGGAGGCAGCAGUGGGGAAUAUUGCACAAUGGGCGGAAGCCUGAUGCAGCAACGCCGCGUGCGGGAUGACGGCCUUCGGGUUGUAAACCGCUUUCGCCUGUGACGAAGCGUGAGUGACGGUAAUGGGUAAAGAAGCACCGGCUAACUACGUG
Molecule: ribosomal RNA, 468 nt
Filed under: uncultured bacterium
Lineage: Bacteria
Description: partial 16S ribosomal RNA
Rfam family: Bacterial small subunit ribosomal RNA
Source: RNAcentral